RNAcentral lists this ribosomal RNA (468 nucleotides) under uncultured bacterium. RNAcentral's name for it is "partial 16S ribosomal RNA". It matches the Rfam family "Bacterial small subunit ribosomal RNA", at positions 28 to 507 of the family's 1533-position model. The record is from RNAcentral.
GACGAACGCUGGCGGCGUGCUUAACACAUGCAAGUCGAACGGAAAGGCCCUGCUUUUGUGGGGUGCUCGAGUGGCGAACGGGUGAGUAACACGUGAGUAACCUCCCCUUGACUUUGGGAUAACUUCAGGAAACUGGGGCUAAUACCGGAUAGGAGCUCCUGCUGCAUGGUGGGGGUUGGAAAGUUUCGGCGUUUGGGGAUGGACUCGCGGCUUAUCAGCUUGUUGGUGGGGUAGGUGUUUACCAAGGCUUUGACGGGUAGCCGGCAUGAGAGGGUGACCGGCGACCAUGGGCCUGAGAGAGGGAGCAGACUGCUACGGGAGGCAGCAGUGGGGAAUAUGGCACAAUGGGCGGAAGCCUGAUGCAGAAAUGCCGGGUGCGGGAUGACGGGCUACGGGUUGUAAACAGAUUUCGAAGGUGACGAAGCGUGAGUGACGGUACUGGGUAAAGAAGCACCGGCUAACUACGUG